RNAcentral lists this unclassified non-coding RNA (280 nucleotides) under Hevea brasiliensis (rubber tree). Lineage: Eukaryota; Viridiplantae; Streptophyta; Magnoliopsida; Malpighiales; Euphorbiaceae. The record is from RNAcentral.
UGCAGCAGUGGUUGGUUGGAGGGGCCUAACAAGGUUUACAUACCAUUCCUCGCCUGUGGUGAUCUCAGCGGGUACGACUCAGACCGUUCUUAUCCACUCCCAACGAACACAGGAGGCGGUUCUUACCAAAGCUUGGAUCCAGUUCAGCCUCCCAUUGCCCCUCCUUACAAAACAGCUCUGGAACUGAAGAAAGCUUCUAAUCACGGGAUUUUAGAAAUUGACAAGCUCUCUCUCGAUUCCUGAGACUUGUGUGAGGAGAUUUUAUUUAUGUAGUUUUAAG